UACGGAGGGUGCGAGCGUUGUCCGGAAUUACUGGGCGUAAAGGGCGCGUAGGCGGCCUUCUAAGUCAGACGUGAAAUCCCCAGGCUUAACUUGGGAACUGCGUCUGAUACUGGGAGGCUUGAGUGCGGGAGAGGGAUGUGGAAUUCCUGGUGUAGCGGUGAAAUGCGCAGAUAUCAGGAGGAACACCAAUUGCGAAGGCAGCUCGCUGGGACGUUACUGACGCUGAGACGCGAAAGCGUGGGGAGCAAACAGG
This 253-nucleotide ribosomal RNA is filed under the name uncultured bacterium. RNAcentral's name for it is "partial 16S ribosomal RNA". It matches the Rfam family "Bacterial small subunit ribosomal RNA", at positions 524 to 776 of the family's 1533-position model. The record is from RNAcentral.